Molecule: non-coding RNA, 562 nt
Organism: Pelobates cultripes (western spadefoot toad)
Lineage: Eukaryota; Metazoa; Chordata; Amphibia; Anura; Pelobatidae
Source: the annotation of a GenBank genome assembly
AUUGAGUCCAAAACGUAUUGAGGUCAUUCAGAGGAUUCCUACACCCACUACUCGGAAGGAGUUGCUCACCUUCCUCGGCAUGAUUAAUUACUGCCGCCAAUGGAUCCCUGAAUGCUCCCAUUAUAACUCAAUCCUAAGGGAGGCUGUACGUUCUGACAGCCCUGAAAAUGUCUGCUGGUCACCAGACAUGCUAGCUGCAUAUAUUGCCCUUACAGUUGUUAUUGUGCAAGCCCAGGCUUUAGGACUACCUGUGUAUUGUAAACCAUUUCAUUUGUAUGCUUGGGACAAUUGUAAAACCAUGGCCGCAGUCUGUGCACAAGAGCAAGGAGGCGGUAUGCGUCCCAUAGCAUUCUUUUCCAAAGUAGUUCGAGCUCCGGUAAAGGGUAUGCCGGCGUGUCUCAGAGCAUUGAUAGCAUGUGCAAUGGCUGUUGAAACUGCUACUACUAUCACACUAGGGCAUCCUACAAUACUUCAUGCCAGUCACCAGGUCACUCAGCUGAUGACAAAUAUCACCGUACAACACAUGACAGCCCAGCGCUUCAGUGGUUAUGAGAUUCUUUUU